GACGAACGCUGGCGGCGUGCUUAACACAUGCAAGUCGAACGGAAAGGCCCUGCUUUUGUGGGGUGCUCGAGUGGCGAACGGGUGAGUAACACGUGAGUAACCUGCCCUUGACUUUGGGAUAACUUCAGGAAACUGGGGCUAAUACCGGAUAGGAGCUCCUGCUGCAUGGUGGGGGUUGGAAAGUUUCGGCGGUUGGGGAUGGACUCGCGGCUUAUCAGCUUGUUGGUGGGGUAGUGGCUUACCAAGGCUUUGACGGGUAGCCGGCCUGAGAGGGUGACCGGGCACAUUGGGACUGAGAUGCGGGCCAGACGCCUACGGGAGGCAGCAGUGGGGAAUAGUGCGCAAUGGGCGGAAGCCUGAUGCAGCAACGCCGCGUGCGGGAUGACGGCCUUCGGGUUGUAAACCGCUUUCGCCUGUGACGAAGCGUGAGUGACGGUAAUGUGUAAAGAAGCAACGGCUAACUACGUG
This 468-nucleotide ribosomal RNA is filed under the name uncultured bacterium. RNAcentral describes it as "partial 16S ribosomal RNA". It matches the Rfam family "Bacterial small subunit ribosomal RNA", at positions 28 to 507 of the family's 1533-position model. The record is from RNAcentral.